This 815-nucleotide long non-coding RNA is filed under the name Suricata suricatta (meerkat). RNAcentral's name for it is "lncRNA (ENSSSUG00005016731.1)". The record is from RNAcentral. Lineage: Eukaryota; Metazoa; Chordata; Mammalia; Carnivora; Herpestidae.
GUUGCUGGUGGAGAGAAGCUGGUUCUGGUUUUUAGUUCAAGCUCUGAUGCAUCGUCCAACCCAGCAGGGUAGUUUAAGAACCAGAAAAGAAAUGCAUCACUGUUUACUUCUGGGCUGUAGUUUCUUUAUCUACAUAAUGGAGAUAAAAAUACCAUUUACUCUGACCCAGAUACAUCUCUCUUUCUUUUUAAAAGCAGCUGAAAGCAUAAGUGACUUCUGGAUCGAUCAUCUUUCCUGGAUGCUUUCUACUGCCUGACAUCUGGGGCUUGUUAUCUCGUCUGCGAACUGAGAGCCUUAGGACGAGACUUAAUUCAGCCCUGAGUAGGGGUUAGCAACGUGCAAAGAAGAGAAGCUGUGUUAUGUGUAUUAAACCCUGACGAGUGGAAGAGGAGACUCUGCCUAGAGAUCCCUUUCCUGAGAUGCUUUUGCAGAAGUGUGGCUACAGCCUAAAUCCAAGAAGAGAAAAUGACGAAACCGGGACUCCAGUGAACUCUACAGCCUUAAUGCUGCAUCCUGAGUGGGGCAUCCAGGCUCCAGAUGGCAGGGACCCACCGACACUGCUACUGUUAGGACCUGUUAGCAAAGGGCGACUUGCUGCAUCUGUCUCUCCCGAGUCCGGUACAGUCCUGGUUUCAUCACGGUGGUUGACUCACCCCUUGUCAAGCCCUGGAUUCUUCAAGCUAUACCCUCACACACACAAAAAAAGCAUUUGAAAUAUUUUGUUCAAAAGGAAUUUAAUGACAAUUUGAUGUUCCUAAGAAACUCCAAUUCUGGUAUUGAAAAAAACCUAUAUACUCCAAAUGUCAAGAAAUAAA